Molecule: unclassified non-coding RNA, 343 nt
Filed under: soil metagenome
Description: partial contains 5.8S ribosomal RNA, internal transcribed spacer 2, and large subunit ribosomal RNA
Rfam family: 5.8S ribosomal RNA (bases 1-121)
Source: RNAcentral
GAUGAAGAACGUAGCGAAAUGCGAUAAGUAAUGCGAAUUGCAGAAUUUCCGUGAGUCAUCGAAUCUUUGAACGCACAUUGCGCCCGCCAGCACUCUGGCGGGCAUGCCUGUUCGAGCGUCAUUUCAACCAUCAAGCCCCCAGGGGCUUGUGCUGGGGCCCUGCGGCUGCCCGCAGGCCCUGAAAACCAGUGGCGGGCUCGCUAGUCACACCGAGCGCAGUAGCACAUCUCGCUCAGGGCGUGCGGCGGGCUCCUGCCGUGAAACCCCCCACUGUAACCCCAAAGGUUGACCUCGGAUCAGGUAGGAAUACCCGCUGAACUUAAGCAUAUCAAUAAGCGGAGGA